GGUUACCAAGAAGCAGAUGGGCUGUGAAGGAGACAAAUCCUUCUGUCUAAACACAAAUAGCAUUGAUAAUUAAUUAGCUGAAGCAGCAGGGGAAAUUAUGAAAAUGUGUGAAAGCACAGCUGUGAGGCACGUAAAGCCUUCCUACUCCAGAUUUGGUCUACUCACCAGCAGCAUCUCCAUCGCCUAAGAGUUUUAUUAGAAAUGCGCAACGUCAAGCCCUACUCCAGACACACCGAAUUAGAACCUGCAUUUUAACAAGAUCCCCAGUGACUCAUAUACAAACAAAAGACUGAGAAGCACAGGCCUAGAAAAUGUCUCCUCCCACUGACAAAGGGCAAAGAAAGGAGUUGUCUCAGAACUUGGAGUAAAAAAUACUCUCCUGUGGUGACAGAGAGAAAAAGUGUGGAGGGCAAAGAGGGGAGCCUGUGUAUAUGUGUGUGUAUGUGUGAGAGAGAUAGAGAGAUGAAAUGAGGUAACAAGAUUCACCUGCCAACCAGCUCUGCCUAAAACUUUUCAGCACACUCUGGAUCUCAGCUGCUAGUACUUACUCUUAUUUGACUACUAGGCAUAUUUAGUUUCUAUAUCCUGCCUGAGAUGUUCCCAAAAUGUCAUAAGCGGCAGGAAGAUAACCUGAAUUUUUGUCCUUUAUCCAAGCACUAGGUCUGACAGAGGUAGUCUUCCUGACAUUGCCCUCACUGGCCCAGAGUAAGAAAGCUCACUAAAUGUUCUCACGAUUAUUUGAAGCAUGAUUUCAGCCAUGCUAUUCUACCAAAAGCAGCGCGGAUCUCUCUCUUGAUCAUUUGGCAUUCUUCAUAUCACAUCAUUACACAUAAAAUUGUUGAUUCUCGGGUUAGAAGGAACCAUUUUUAAAAGUACAAUUUCUUACCUGAUACUGGAAUCCCUGCCAUAAUAUAGCUAGUCAUUGCCAAGCUACACUUGGAAAAAAUAGAUGAAAGAAAACUCAAAAUUCAUGCUCAUAUGCUAUUGAGCAUUUAGUGACAUUGCAGCUACCUUAUUUGAGAAGGCAGCAUUCCACUGAUAACAUAUAUCACCCUCUAAGUAUGGCAUGCUCCUCUUAAAAACAGUUAAGCUUCAGAGCAGUAGUGCAGGAAGGAAAAAAGUCCCUUCAUAAAUAAAUCCUUUUGCCUAAAUGAAAGAAUAUACAGUACUCAUUAAAAUGGUGAUUAGAGCCCAGCAUGAGAAAGAUACCCUCAUAAUAACACUAAUAAUAUCAGCAAUAAAAAUACCCUCUGAGAUUUGCUAUUC
Molecule: long non-coding RNA, 1266 nt
Filed under: Pan troglodytes (chimpanzee)
Lineage: Eukaryota; Metazoa; Chordata; Mammalia; Primates; Hominidae
Description: long non-coding RNA NONPTRT011533
Source: RNAcentral